AUUGAACGCUGGCGGCAGGCCUAACACAUGCAAGUCGAGCGGAUGAAGGGAGCUUGCUCCUGGAUUCAGCGGCGGACGGGUGAGUAAUGCCUAGGAAUCUGCCUGGCAGGGGGGGAUAACGUCCGGAAACGGGCGCUAAUACCGCAUACGUCCUGAGGGAGCAAGUGGGGGAUCUUCGGACCUCACGCUAUCAGAUGAGCCUAGGUCGGAUUAGCUAGUUGGUGGGGUAAAGGCCUACCAAGGCGACGAUCCGCAACUGGUCUGAGAGGAUGAUCAGUCACACGGGAACUGAGACGCGGUCCAGACUCCUAAGGGAGGCAGCAGUGGGGAAUAUUGGACAAUGGGCGAAAGCCUGAUCCAGCCAUGCCGCGUGUGUGAAGAAGGUCUUCGGAUUGUAAAGCACUUUAAGUUGGGAGGAAGGGCAGUAAGUUAAUACCUUGCUGUUUUGACGUUACCAACAGAAUAAGCACCGGCUAACUUCGUG
This 484-nucleotide ribosomal RNA is filed under the name uncultured bacterium. RNAcentral describes it as "partial 16S ribosomal RNA". It matches the Rfam family "Bacterial small subunit ribosomal RNA", at positions 30 to 507 of the family's 1533-position model. The record is from RNAcentral.